Small nuclear RNA from Cavia porcellus (domestic guinea pig), 106 nucleotides. Lineage: Eukaryota; Metazoa; Chordata; Mammalia; Rodentia; Caviidae. The record is from RefSeq and is a predicted model, not a curated record.
GUGCUUGCUCUCACAGCACAUAUACUAAACUUGGAAAAAUAAAGAGAAGAUUAACAUGGCUCUGUGCAAGGAUAACAUGCAAAUUCGUGAAGCGUUCCAUAUUUUU